GAUGAACGCUGGCGGCGUGCCUAAUACAUGCGAGUCGAGCGAACAGAUGAGGAGCUUGCUCCUCUGACGUUAGCGGCGGACGGGUGAGUAACACGUGGAUAACCUACCUAUAAGACUGGGAUAACUUCGGGAAACCGGAGCUAAUACCGGAUAAUAUAUUGAACCGCAUGGUUCAAUAGUGAAAGACGGUUCUGCUGUCACUUAUAGAUGGAUCCGCGCCGCAUUUGCUAGUUGGUAAGGUAACGGCUUACCAAGGCAACGAUGCGUAGCCGACCUGAGAGGGUGAACGGCCAGCCUGGAACUGAGAGACGGUCCUGACUCCUACGGGAAGCAGCGGUAGGGAAUCUUCCACAAUGGGCGAAAGCCUGACGGAGCAACGCCACGUGAUUGAUGAAGGUCUUCGAAUCGGAAAACUCUGUUAUUAGGGAAAAACAAAUGUGUAAGUAACUAUGCACGUCUUGACGGUACCUUAUCAGAAAGCCACGGCUGACUACGUG
Molecule: ribosomal RNA, 497 nt
Filed under: uncultured bacterium
Lineage: Bacteria
Description: partial 16S ribosomal RNA
Rfam family: Bacterial small subunit ribosomal RNA
Source: RNAcentral